This 463-nucleotide ribosomal RNA is filed under the name uncultured bacterium. RNAcentral describes it as "bacterial SSU rRNA". It matches the Rfam family "Bacterial small subunit ribosomal RNA", at positions 338 to 794 of the family's 1533-position model. The record is from RNAcentral.
CCUACGGGUGGCAGCAGUGGGGAAUAUUGCACAAUGGGCGCAAGCCUGAUGCAGCCAUGCCGCGUGUAUGAAGAAGGCCUUCGGGUUGUAAGUACUUUCAGUGGGGAGGAAGGCGAUAAGGUUAAUAACCUUGCCGAUUGACGUUACCCGCAGAAGAAGCACCGGCUAACUCCGUGCCAGCAGCCGCGGUAAUACGGAGGGUGCAAGCGUUAAUCGGAAUUACUGGGCGUAAAGCGCACGCAGGCGGUCUGUCAAGUCGGAUGUGAAAUCCCCGGGCUCAACCUGGGAACUGCAUUCGAAACUGGCAGGCUAGAGUCUUGUAGAGGGGGGUAGAAUUCCAGGUGUAGCGGUGAAAUGCGUAGAGAUCUGGAGGAAUACCGGUGGCGAAGGCGGCCCCCUGGACAAAGACUGACGCUCAGGUGCGAAAGCGUGGGGAGCAAACAGGAUUAGAUACCCCCGUAGU